RNAcentral lists this ribosomal RNA (441 nucleotides) under uncultured bacterium. RNAcentral describes it as "partial 16S ribosomal RNA". It matches the Rfam family "Bacterial small subunit ribosomal RNA", at positions 338 to 795 of the family's 1533-position model. The record is from RNAcentral.
CCUACGGGUGGCAGCAGUGGGGAAUAUUGCACACUGGGGGAAACCCUGAUGCAGCGACGCCGCGUGAGUGAAGAAGUAUUUCGGUAUGUAAAGCUCUAUCAGCAGGGAAGAAAAAAGACGGUACCUGACUAAGAAGCCCCGGCUAACUACGUGACAGCAGCCGCGGUAAUACGUAGGGGCCAAGCGUUAUCCGAGUUUACUGGGGGUAACGGGAGCGUAGACGGCGCGGCAAGUCUGAAGGGAAAGGCAGGGUCUUAACCCCUGAACUGCUUUGGAAACUGCCAUGCUAGAGUGCUGGAGAGGUAAGUGGAAUUCCUAGUGUAGCGGUGAAAUGCGUAGAUAUUAGGAGGAACACCAGUGGCGAAGGCGGCUUACUGGACAGUAACUGACGUUGAGGCUCGAAAGCGUGGGGAGCAAACAGGAUUAGAUACCCCUGUAGUC